GACGAACGCUGGCGGCGUGCUUAACACAUGCAAGUCGAACGGAAAGGCCCUGCUUUUGUGGGGUGCUCGAGUGGCGAACGGGUGCGUAACACGUGAGUAACCUGCCCUUGACUUUGGGAUAACUUCAGGAAACUGGGGCUACUACCGGAUAGGAGCUCCUGCUGCAUGGUGGGGGUUGGAACGUUUCGGCGGUUGGGGUUGGACUCGCGGCUUAUCAGCUUGUUGGUGGGGUAGUGGCUUACCAAGGCUUUGACGGGUAGCCGGCCUGAGAGGGUGACCGGCGACAUUGGGACUGAGAUACGGCCCAGACUCCUACGGGAGGCAGAAGUGGGGAAUAUUGCACAAUGGGAGGAAGCCUGAGGAAGAAACGCCGCGUGCGGGAUGACGGCCUUCGGGUUGUAAACCGCUUUCGCCUGUGACGAAGCGUGAGUGACGGUAAUGGGUAAAGAAGCACCGGCUAACUACGUG
This 468-nucleotide ribosomal RNA is filed under the name uncultured bacterium. RNAcentral's name for it is "partial 16S ribosomal RNA". It matches the Rfam family "Bacterial small subunit ribosomal RNA", at positions 28 to 507 of the family's 1533-position model. The record is from RNAcentral.